Molecule: long non-coding RNA, 24774 nt
Filed under: Eutrema salsugineum
Lineage: Eukaryota; Viridiplantae; Streptophyta; Magnoliopsida; Brassicales; Brassicaceae
Description: long non-coding RNA (ESAL_LNC000863)
Source: RNAcentral
UUUGUAGAAGGAAUUGUUGAUUUUUUCGGUGAUGAGUACUUAAGAAAACCCACCCCAGAGGAUCUUCAACGGUUACUUCAUUUCGGAGAGCAACGGGGAUUUCCCGGAAUGAUAGGAAGCAUCGACUGUAUGCAUUGGGAGUGGAAGAAUUGUCCAACGGCUUGGAAAGGCCAGUAUACACGUGGUUCAGGAAAACCCACUAUCGUUCUAGAGGCAGUUGCUUCAUAUGAUCUGUGGAUAUGGCAUGCCUUUUUUGGACCUCCAGGUACAUUAAAUGAUUUAAACGUUCUUGAUCGAUCUCCCAUUUUUGAUGAUAUAAUACAAGGUAAAGCUCCGCGAGUAAAUUUUUAUGUCAACGGACGGGAGUAUAAGUUAGCAUACUAUCUCACAGAUGAUAUCUAUCCAAAAUGAGCCACUUUUGUGCAAUCUAUACCAGCUCCACAAGAUCCAAAGUCAUGCUUAUUUGCUGAACGUCAAGAAGGCUACCGAAAAGAUGUCGAACGUGCUUUUGGAGUCUUACAGGCUCGCUUCGCCGUUGUUAAAAAUCCCGCUCUUUUUUGGGAUAAAGCAAAAAUAAGAAAGAUUAUGAGAGCUUGUAUCAUACUCCAUAAUAUGAUAGUAGAAGACGAACGAGAUGGAUACAGACAUUUUGAUCUUUUAGAUUUUGAACAUGGAGAAGGAAGCGGAAGUUCAACUGUGGAUCUCUCAUAUUCAACGUAUAUGCCCUCAAACAUUGCUAAUAUGAUGGGUAUUCGAAAUGAUAUUCGGGAUAAACCACGGUAUGAUCGUUUGCAAGCUGAUUUGUUGGAGCAUGAUCUGGCAAAAAUUUGGGACGUACUGAAGCCAACAAUUAAGUUUGUAUUACAAAAUUUAAGUUUACAUUUCAAUUGUAUGUUUGUGUUGUUUCUGUUUUUUUUUUAUUAUUUCAUAAUGUAAUAAUCUAAUUAAUUAUCUUUAUUUCCAUUAAAAAAACAUAAUUUUUUUUUCUUACAAGAAACCAUGUAAAUUUCUACCAAUGAACCAUUAAAAACAUGGUUUCUUUUAAUAGUUUUUUGCCACAAAUCAAUUCAUUAAAUAUUCAUAAGAAACUCAUUAGAAGUAAUACCAACAAUCAUGCUCUUACGCUUCAUUCCACCUUCAUGGAUUUUAUAAAUUGAUUGUUUCGCUCUAUUUGUAUUUAUAUUUACUGCAUUUUUGCUUGUACCGUGUACGAUAGGGGACAAGGAAAAAAUAUAUGAUUGUGAGUCUCGUCUGGUUCCACACAGAGAGAACAUGACUAAACAAUCCCCAAUUUUGUGCUUGAUCCCCUGUUGCUAACUUAUUCUUCACUGCUAGCCAAGUCACAAGUGAUAGAAGUGUGAUGUGGAAUAGCUUGUGAGAACCAAACCACACGAUGCCAAUUCAGCACUACUUCGCUCUAACCUGAUCCCACGUCUUAUAAGAAUAGAAGAGAUUCUUAUCCCAUAGGAGAAUGUUGGGUCCAUAUGACAUUAUUGGAGAAAGUGUGGACCGAAUAUUUUGAAGCAUUCCUUGUAUAUAACAUAACACUAAAAAUCACAUUAUAUUGAAAAAAUUUAUAACCCAACCUUUUUAGAUCAUUUAAUAAGUCAACUAAAAAUAAAGAUCAUAUGGUUCAAAGUCAAUUUUUUUGAUCAAUUCUAGUAAAUAAAUUAUCUCUUAUCGUAAAAAAAAAUCAUAAUAAUUAAGAUUUAAACAAGUUUUACAAACAAACACAAAUAUUAACAAAAUCACUAAAUUAACUUUAUAUUUUGUGAUCAAUUUUUUGUACAGAAGCUCUUUUGGUCUAAUGGUAGAUAAAUAUUUCAUUAAUGUUUUAUACAUUAAGAGAUCCAGUUUUCGAAUUCCUGAAAAUAUGAUCGAUUUAUUAUUAAAUGCAGGUCAACGGAGAUAAAUUUACAUACUGUAAUGUAAUAAUUCUCACAAUUUAUAAUAGAAUAAUAGAUCUAAUGUUAAAAAAAACUUUAUGUUUUAUUGUUUAAUUAAAAAAAAUAUAGAAUACAACCUCAUAAUUUUUUUAUUUAUAUACUAUAUCACACUUUAAAAACGGAAACGUAAGCUUCAAAAACAAUUUUUUUUUAUAAAUAAAAUAAAAAUUAGAAAAGCAAUGGAAACGAGUUUCCAAAAGAUUCUGAUUCCAGUUCUGAUUUCAAAGGUGAAAUUUUCUCGCAUGGAGUUUCCAUGCAACAUAUCUCAAAAGUUCUCAAAUAACAGACUUUUUUUCAUUUAUUGAGAUUCUAUGAAGGAAAAAUAUUAAAGGCAAAUGAGGUUUUUAUUACAUGAACUGAACCAUACAAACCAACUAACCAAGACCUAAAUGAUUCUAAAGAGAACUUUAAAAAAAAAAAAACAGAAGUAACUUAAGAUACUCUGGUUUAUACAACCUUAUUGAUCACCCGCUAGUACCUGCAAUAAAAGCAUCAUCAUGUCGUUUUUUAUAAUUUCACAAAAGACUGCACUAACACAAAUUACUAAACUACUGUUUAGUUAUGUGCACGUAGAUUUAAGCUCAUUGAUAAACUAGAUCCUGUAAGGAAUUGACGGAGUUAUUGACAUAACCGAUCAUUACACCAGGACUAAAUAGUGUCUCCCUCCACUUAUUGUGAUUCAUCCUCACCAAUUUCCCGGUUUCACUCUCUCUUUCCAUCACACUAGUGAUUGCAUCGCGCAAGCUCUCUUUCGAAAACCAUCCUGUUUCUUCUCUAGCCACUUCAACCGAAACCUCGAGUUCUUCACUCAACAACCUUGUGUUGAGGAUCUGAUCACCUAAUUGUGGAAUCAAAACUAUCUGACAAUCAUUCAUCAAAGAUUCCCACAUUGAUCCAAAACCACAAUGGCUCACAAAGCACCCAACAGAUGGAUGAGACAAUAUCAGUUCUUGUUGAACCCAUCCUCCCCAAACAACUCCUCGUCCUUUAACCUUUAGGUAGGCACAGAAAAAAAAUUAAUUGAAAAACUAAGUCGAAAUAGCCGGAUUCAAAUUAUAAGUUCUUUUAUGAACGGUUUAGUUUCAUUUUUUAAAUCUAAAACAAAACUGAAACCAUUUUUUUAACCUUAUAUCAAAUUCCCCGAAAAAAAUAGAAAAAUCAUGAAACAAAACCGAAUUACAAAAUAAGCUAGAAACCAAACUGGAAUGAGAUCAAACCGAAUGGAUAUAUAAAUAAAUCAUUACUAAUAAAGUUAUUUUAAAAAAUACAAGCUGGAUCAAAAAUUUGAAUGAGUUCAAAACUGAAUUGAAACCAAACGAAAUAUAAAUAGUUUUUAUAUAAUUCACUCACUUUUUAUAGAUACAGAAAACGAAAAACAACCCUAAUAAUUAAAAAUUCAUUAUUUUUGAUAAAUGAAUUAAAAGUAGGUAUAACCAUAAUAUUAAAUAAAUAAGUGUUUUAGGUUAUUUUGUGACAAAAACCGAACUGAAAUUAAACAAGAGUGGGACCAAAUCGAAUAAAAACCAAACCGAACUACAAAAGCUUUAAUAUGAUGAUUUAUUUUUAAAGAAUCAAAAGACCAAAAACUCGAAUACCAAAUAAACCGAAUAGUAAAGUGGAUUGUUCAACACUGACCCUCUCCUCGAAUCCAUCUGGCAAUGCUUCUUGAAUCGUUGAUAUGCCUCUUGGUGGCUUAACCGCUAGAAGAAACGGCAAACCUGUUAGUUCCAUUGCUAAACAAAGUUCUUGGAACUGAUCUUUCUGCAAAACAACUUGUGUCCCCAACGCACAAAACACAACCGAGUCUGGUUCAAAUCCACUGAGCCAAUUACUCCAUUUUUCUUCUAGCUGUUUAGUCUCGUCUGGUUCAGGGAACAUCGGACCCGUCAAGAGAACCCUUUUCUUGCAAUGCUUUUCGAUAUAGUCGCAAAAGCUUCCUUCGAUUUCUCUUACCGUCCUUAUAGCAAUGACGUCGCAGUUCAUAAGACUUGUAGUGAUUCGUUCCAUGAAUUUUGUUCCGUCAUUGUUUAUAGACUUCAUGGAGUAGAGAUCUUGUUUACGAAGCAAAACUUUUGAUGAAGGAUAUCCCGGUGGAGGAACACCUAACUCACCACCUAUAACGAAUUCUAUAGAAUUAAAACCCAUAACAAUUUUAUUGUAUUCACCGUCUGACGUCUAAUAACAAUUUUCUUUUUAGUAACCAAGAAGUCCCGGAGUACUUUAUGUCUAUCAGUUUUUUGGGACCAUGAAGCACAGCAUUUAGUCUCCUCCCUAGUGGCUAGUGUCAUUCUUAUCAAUGAGUUUGAUGAGGCAAGCAUUUAGUCUCUAUCAGUUUUUUGGGACCAUGAAGCAAAGCAUUUAGUCUCUCUUUUUUUUUUUUUAAUCACUUCUUUCUAAAUAACCAUCACUGUUUUUUAUUAUUUUUUUCUUUUCCUGGCAUUAGUUUUAUUUUUAUGCUCUCCUAGUUUUUUUCCCUUCCUAUAAUUUUCAAAUUUCUUCUGAUAAGCUACAUAUAUAUAUAUAUAUAUAUAUAUAUAUAUAUAUAUUGACUUGCUUAACAAAAAUCAAUAUGACAAGUUACACGACAGUCGCUAAUUAUUUGUGUAACAGUCAAUAAAUUUAAAGUUAUGAAAACUAACGUAUACUUUUGGAAAUCGAUUGAAAUUACAAUUAAAAUGACACUUUUCUAUUCUAUCAAAUAACAGCAAAAUAAUUGUGUUUGAGACUCUUAAAAAAUUAUAGUAGAAAAGAUCUUUUAUCAUCAAAAACUAUAUAUACAAGAAAAAUGUUUGGUUAACUAGAUCGGAAUAGUAACGUUACAUACAAAACAUAUAAUUAUCUAAAGAACGAAAUCUAACACUGUAUAUCAUGCACACACAAACAGAAAAACCAAAAACGAAAUUUAUAAUUGUUACUUCGAUAAUGAUAUCUAAGUAUUUUCAGUUAUAUAUAAUUGAAUAAAUUUGAGUUCAUAUUCUGCUCACGGUAAAAUAAUAUCUUUCUAGAGUACUAACCUUGAACAAGCAUACUAGCUAUAGUCGAUGCAGACACCACAACAUACAUCACAGUCUUGACGCCAAAAUCUUUAGCCAUUUCCGGAAUCCAAUGAGCAAAGUCGAAGAAGAUGAGGUCCGGUUUUACGGCUAGGACCUGAUCUUCGAUCUGAGCACGUGUGAGAUCCAUUGCAGAGGCUAAGAGAUUGGUUGAUGACACCGGGAUUUCCGAGGCUGUCUCUGUGCCGAUGGGGAGACCAUCGACAUGAGGAACAGUGACGGAGUGAAAGACAAUUUUGUCUGGAAACAGAUUGAGAUGUUCAUAUUGUUUUAGAGUUUUCUUGGGAAGCAAGAAAGUGACCCUAUGACCUUUAUCAGCUAAUUUGUUGGCAAGAUGCAAGAAUGGAGUCAUAUGACCAGUUGCAAACCAUGGAUACAUAAGUGCAUGGAACUUUGAAUCCAUUUGUUUUGUUUAUUGUUUUUUUUUGUUUUGUCUUUUCUUCUUUCUUAGUAUAUCUAGGUUCAGCUUUGGACUCUAAAGGUUUAUUUAUACAUGGCAAGUAAUGCAUGGAAACCUAACUAAGUGCGCAGUUGGGAAUUAAAGCAAAAGCUAGAAGGGGCCUACGGCUUCAUAAAGUUUCUCUUUUCCAAGUACGAUGUUAGGUUUCAGAGAUACUAAAAAAAUGUUAUUUUGAUACCGACGUUAUAAUUCUUCGAGAGACUCCUCUACCUUCUUCUUGCCUCAUCAAACUCAUUGAUAAGAAUGUCGGAAAUCCAAUUAGUUCGAUAAAUCAAGAGACAUCACAUAUGAUAAUCGUAUGAGGGUGUAGUUCACCACUCGUUCACCAUGGGCCUUCCCUAACGCCAAAGCGAAGGCUGAAGCAGAAUCUUCCGAUCUAUAUAUUGUGUAUAUAUAAUCGUUUGAAUUAAAGUAUGCUUUCAUUUGAGAGCAAAAAAAAAGUACGCUUCCUCGUAAAAAACAUUUGUUUUGAUUGAAUAAACUUUAUAUUCAACUCAAAUAUAGAAAGUAUUAUUUUUCUCUCACAGAAGUUUAUUGUUUGAUAGGGAUGGGCAUUCGGUUGUUCUAGUUGGCUCUGUUCGUUAAAAAAUAUUUUUCAUUUUUUUUUGGGUUCUAUAGAUAUUAUUGAUCAUUAGUUUAUAUUUCAGUUUGGUUCGGUUCAUAUUCGAGUUUGGUUUGGUUGUGCUUUGAAAAAUUAACAUAACAAAGAAAUUAAUUAACUAAUUUUACUUAAAUAUUUAAAUAUAAUAUUCUAUAUACUUAAUCAACUUAUUGAUUCUCUAUUAAAUUUUGGUUAAUAUGGUUAAUUCCAUGCAAAUUAUUUUAUAAUUAAUUCCAAGUUCUAGUUAGGAAAUUUUGGCUCGGUUGAAGAUGGUUCUAAAAAUUUUCUCUACUCUAUUUUUGACCCAGCAAUAGCUUCAAUAUCAAUUAUACGAUUAUUUAAAAACAAACUUGAACGACAUAUGAAUCCAUGUAAAAAAAGAGAUAGUCCACCAUUUCGACCUUCCAAUUCCAUGGUCAAUAAUUUUUAUCACCAAAUUCAAACUAAAAAUCUUGAUUGUUUUUGAAAGGAAGAGAAAAAAAAAGGAGCAAACAGCGAUACAACUCCCGAAAAAGUUAAUGCAUUUAUAACCAAAAAUUUAAUAUGUUUUUUAAUGUGUAAGAAAUUUAAAACAUUUUUAAAAUUUUAAAUAGAGGGAGUAAUUUUUAAAGUUCAAGACAGAUGAAUACCAUAUACUUUUUUUUUUUUAAAAAUGAAUACCAUAUGAAUUAUUCUUUCAAAACAAAUUAGGUGUUUAGCCCGCGACUUGCGCAGACCGAAAAGUUUCAUUGAAAUCUAAAAUAAAAUUUUAUGUCAUAAAUAAAAAAUACUUAGAUCAAAAAUUUGAUACAUACAAAAUUAAAAUAAAACUAACCUAUGAAAGUAAUCAUUGUCUAACAUUAAAAACUUUAAAAUCAAUACUAAUAAGUGUAUAAAAUCAAUAAACACAAACUAAAAUAAAAUUAAUAUGAAUUAUUCAUCUUUUUCUUUUAAAAUUUUAUUUUUUUUUUCUCUAUCAUUUUCUUCUUUAUUUUUUUCUUUUUUUUUUUUGUUUCCUUCUUUAUUUUCUAUGUCUUUUUUUACUUUUUAUUCUGCAUGUUUUUCUUUUUCACGUCUUCUUAUUCUUCUCAACAUCUUUUCCUUUUUCCUCUCAUACAUCUUUUGAUUUUUUUCUUUUCAACGUUUUAUUCCCUUUCUUCUUCUUCUUCUUCUUCUUAUUUUUUUUUUUUUUUUUUUUUUCCUUUUUCAUUGUCAUCGUCUUCUUUGUUAUCACCGACUUCCUAUUCUUCUGGUGUUUUUCGGCUUUUACAUCAUCUUCAUAUUCUUCUACUUUCUCCAAUUCCUCCUCUUUUAAGGUUUUCAUCUAAUUUUUUCUCUUCACUAUCUUCUUCUUCUUCUACUUUGUCUUCUAUUUUAUUUUAUUUUUCUCAUUCAACAGAUUCUUAUUCCUCUUCUUCCAAUUAUUCUUACUCUCUCCAAAUUCUUCAUCAUAUUUUAAAGAUCUUUGUCUUAUCUGUCUUUUUACUCUUCUCAUGGUUUAUAUUUUCCCUUUUUUAAUUUUUUCCUUAUAUUUUUGAUUUUUUUAUCGUUAUUUGUUUUCAAAUUGUUCUUCUUUAUUGUCUUCAUCUUUUUUUUUUACUUCUUAUUCAUCUGAUUUGUCUUCGUUUUUUUAUCAUAUUUACCUUUUUCUACUUUGUCUUCUUCAUCUUCUAGUUUUCUUCCAUUUUAUUAUUAUUUUCUUUCACUUCCUCUACUAUCUACUGGUUUUCUUUUAUGACUUCUUCUUCUGAUUAUCUUUUUUCUUCUCCAAUUGGUGAUUUAAUUUUUUUUGUUCAUCAUCAUCGACCUAUCCAAAUAUUUGAAUUAUCUCACUUGAACAUUGUAUUAUUUUUUGGACAUAUAAUCCAUGUUUUCUUAUUCUUCUCAUUUUUCAUUAUUUAUCAAGCUUUUCUAUUCUUUGGUUUUUAUCUUUNNNNNNNNNNNNNNNNNNNNNNNNNNNNNNNNNNNNNNNNNNNNNNNNNNNNNNNNNNNNNNNNNNNNNNNNNNNNNNNNNNNNNNNNNNNNNNNNNNNNAUUUUUUCUUUCUAAUUUUUGUUUGUCUUUUUCGCAUCUUUACUUUAUUCUUUUUCGUUUCUUUUUCAUCGUCGGAUUUUCAUCUUCUUAUACUUUAUUUUUUUCAUCUACCAUUUUUGUUCUUCUUUUUCUUUCAGUUUUCUUCUUCAACUUUGAGUUCUUCAUCUCUUUAUCAUUUUUCUUCUUCACUAUUUUGUGUUAUCCAUCUUGAUCUUAUCGUUCAUGGUCUAGGACUUUUUGUUCAUUUUUCCUCAUUUUUUUACGUUUCUGUCAACUCUAUGUUCUGUUUCAAUUUAUCUUUUUUCUCUUUUUUUCUACUUCGUUUUUCCCUUUUCCCCUUUUUAUGUUUUCUUUUUUGGUUUUUUCCUCUGCGUCCUGCUAGAGUAUUUGGCCUCUCUUACAUUUUUCCAAAAAUAAACAGAAUUCAGAAAGCCAUAUUUAAAAAAAACAAAAAAAAAACAAAAGACUUAAAACCUGUUCAUUAGACAAUGAAGAUGAUUUAUGAUAUGUUGACAUGGUUUUAAUCACGUUAAGUAAGGAAGAAUAACUGACAACACAAAACAACAAUAUAUAAUCGAGGAACACUACUAUUGGUACUAUAAAACGAAAAAACAAAAAAAAAAAUUGAAAAUUAAUUUAUAAAAAAUAAAGACGGUAAACAAUACAACGAAAAACUAAACAAUGUAGAAACCAAACCACAAUUGAGCUUAAGAUACAUUUAAAAAGUAAUAUAUUUAUAUAUAGAUCUCAACUUAAGCUAGGAUUUCUCACAUCACAUGUACAUUUUUUUUCCUGAUAAUCUCGCUCAACAGAUAAUCCAAUUGAAAUUAUUUUAAUAUUAUCAAAAUAAUUAAAAAUGGCAGAAAAAUUGUUAUAUAAACUACAAAAAUAAAUAAAUUAAUUAAGAAUAUUUAAAAAGAUUUUUUUAACGAAUAAAGGGGAAUUAGUUACCUAGAUUGAAUGAGAGACCUUAUAGCGAAAAAUUAACUUCGUAUAUAUUAUAUAUGAUAUGAUUUUAAAUGUUUUUUUGAUUAAAUUCCAAUUUUUAAAAUUUCGUUAUUUUCUAUUUUAAAUAAUUUUUGAUUAAAUUUCGAUUAAUAUUUUUAUUUAAUUUACAAUUUUUAAUAAUUUUUAAUUAAUUUACGAUUUUUUUUCUUGAUAAUCUUGCUCAACAGAUAAUCCAAUUGAAAUUAUUUUAAUAUUAUCAAAAUAAUUAAAAGUGGCAGCAAAAUUGUUAUAUAAACUACGAAAAUAAAUCAAUUAAGAAGAUUUAAAAAGAUUUUAUUAACAAAUAAAGAGGAAUUAAUUACCUAAAUUGAAUGAGAGACCUUAUAGCGAAAAAUUAACUUCGCAUAUAUUAUAUAUGAUAUGAUUUUAAAUGUUUUUUUUAUUAAAUUCCAAUUUUUUAAUUUUCGUUAUUUUUUAUUUUAAAUAUUUUUGGAUUAAAUUUCGAUUAAUAUUUUUAUUUAAUUUACAAUUUUUAAUAAGUUUUAAUUAAUUUACGAUUUUUUUUCCUGAUAAUCUCGCUCAAUAGAUAAUCCAAUUGAAAUUCUUUUAAUAUUAUCAUAAUAAUUAAAAGUGGCAGCAAAAUUGUUAUAUAAACUAUGAAAAUAAAUAAAUUAAUUAAUAAUAUUUAAAAUAUUUAUUAACGAAUAAAGGGGAAUUAAUUACCUAGAUUGAAUGAGAGACCUUAUAGCGAAAAAUUACUUCGCAUAUAUUAUAUAUGAUAUGAUUUUAAGUAUUUUUUUGAUUAAAUUCCAAUUUUUAAAUUUUUGUUAUUUUAUAUUUUAAAUACUUUUUGAUUUAAUUUCGAUUAAUAUUUUUAUUUAAUUUACGAUUUUUAAUAAACUUUUUUUUAAUUAAUUUACGAUUUUUUAUAAGUUUUUUAUUAAAUUUAAUUUUUAAAAAUAUAAGAAAGGGUAAAGGGUAAUUAGCCACCUUAAGAUUGAAUGAGAGAGCUUUAACUCAAAAUUUUACUUUGCUUAUAUGAUAUAUGAUGAUAUUAAGUAUUUUAUUGAUUAAAUUCCAAUUUUUAAAUUUUUGUUAUUUUAUAUUUUAAAUAUUUUUUGAUUUAAUUUCGAUUAAUAUUUUUAUUUAAUUUACGAUUUUUAAUAAACUUUUUUUUUAAUUAAUUUACGAUUUUUUAUAAGUUUUUUAUUAAAUUUAAUUUUUAAAAAUAUAAGAAGGAGUAAAGGGUAAUUAGCCACCUUAAGAUUGAAUGAGAGAGCUUUAACUUAAAAUUUUACUUUGCUUAUAAUAUAUAUGAUCAUUUGAAAUGUUUGGUUUAAUAAACCCAACAAUUUUAUAAAUUACUAUUAAGAACCUAAAUUAUACUAUAAAUCCAACCAAUAAUUCUAACCAGACAAAAAGCCAAACAUUUAAUAUGUUUUUAGCAAUGCUAGAUAUUUUUUCCUUUUUUGCCUAGUGAAAGCAUUAAUUAAUAGAACCAACUACAGAGUCGACUCCAAAAAUAGAAUAAGGCCACCAAAAAUAUACAGCGAAAACACAUUUAAGAUGUAGUUUUAUGUCGGGUACGGUGAUGAAGCCACCGUUGGUCCACUCAUCGUGAGAUACGACUGAAAACGUUCAUCUCUAAUUACACUCUUAGCCAUUUCACGAGCUAUGAAUUGGCUUCCAAGACACCAAUUUGAGGGGAUACCACGCUAAACAGAGCCCACAUCCUAUACAACUUUCGGAUUUAAUGCUAAUACAAAAUCAUUUGGCCAAAUGAUAAACAAAAUAGUUUUUAGAUUUAGUUUAUAAUUUAAAAUUUUAUCUUCUAGAGAUUUUAUGAAAUUAAUUAUACUUAACUAGAUCUUGAACCCGCAAAAUCUAAAAAAAAAAAAUAAUGUAUAUUGAAAUUUUACUCAUAAAUAAACACAGUGAUGAUACAUAGAUGUGAAUAUCUAAAAUUUUUAAUAACUAUUAUUGUAAGAAAAUAAACAUAAAUAACUUUUUAAAGCGUAAAAAUAUAAAGAUGAAUGAACUAUAAAAAGUAUUAACACACAAUUUUAUUUGGAUUAAAACUCUAUAAUUUAUGCACCAAUAUAUAACCAACACAACAUAGAUAUCUGUAUAAAUGCAAGUAUACAAUUAAAAAUUGAGGAAUUGACAUUGAGAAUAAAUUAUUCAAAGGUAAUCCAAAUGCUCUUCAAAUUUUUAAAAUAUGAUCAAUUAGAAGAAGGUAAACAAUGAAUAAGAAAAUAUGAAGUCCAAUUAUAAGCAACACCAAUCUUAUUCAGUAGAAUUCAAUUAUUGAUAGAUUGGUGUUGAUUACUGAGAAUUUCUCUGAAUACUUAAACAAUAUUGAUAGAAAUGGUUAGUUAUGCAAAAACGAUGAUACAAAAGUUUAUUCUCCAAAAUAGUAAUUUCAUUAUCUACAGUUUUUGGACAAAACCAUGCAUAUAUUAAAAAAUUAGAAAAUUUCUAAUCUAAAAGAAUAAUCUUACAAAAAUUAAUCAGAGAGACAUAUUCGAUGAGAAAGAACAUAUGAAUUUUGUAACAAAGAAGUGAAGUAUGAAGCAUUUAAAAACGCGAAUUGCUGAUGGACUGAAUCUUAUGUUUGGGCUAAUUAUUGAUUUGGCGCAAAAUAUGAAAAUUAAAAAAAAAAAUCAAUUUAUAUAUAACUGAACAUCACAUAAAAAUAAAUUAAAAUUAAAAUAUGAAAAUUAAGAGAAUAAUAUUAAGAGAUUUUGGUAUGUAUAACUGAACAUCACACAAAAACAAAUUAAAAUGAUUUUAUAUCUCUACAUACCAGUUCUCACGACUGUAUUAUAAACUUUUACAAAUACUGAAUUCAUUAUUUUAUAUUCGUCUAAUAAAUUGUCUAAACUUGAUUCCGAUCAAACCAUAAGUAUUCUAUAAAUUUGCUCAUGAAAUUUAAAUUUCUUUUUUUUUUUGUUGAAAAACAAGUUCUUCAUUAAUAUAUUUCCAAUACAAGUUCUAUGAUUGAUUUGUAAUUUUAGUGAUUUAAUAAGAUGACAAUAAAUUAUGCAUCUGAUUGGGUGUAGCCAAAAUUGAUGCUUCUUUCAUUUCCAUCAUACAAUUUCGCAUAUUCAUCUAAUAAACCAGAUGUUACAUAUGCAUUUUUUUAAUGAAACAAUGAAUUGUAAAUUGAAUAAUAAUUCAUAAGAAAAAGAACUAUGUUGGCUUUUAUGAAUUGGGUUAUAUUUGCCUACAUAAUUACCAAUUUUCCAUUCAGGCUAAAUAAGUUAGCUUUUGUUUUAUAUAUAUAUAUAUAUAUAUAUAUAUAUAUAUAUAUGAAACGUAUGUUGUUGCAUCAUCCGCUUUAUUCAUGGCUAACAAUCUAGUACACAUGUUUUUUUAUAAUUCCAUACCAGUAGCAAUUUCUUUCAAGUGAACUUUAUCCUAUUUCAGUAGUUCUAAAUUUUUUGAAGUUCUUCAACAUUAAAUUAAUUUAUACAUUUUGUUUUUCAAAAUUAUAAGUUGAGUGCAUUUUGAAAUUAAUAUCAAUAGAAAAAACAUGUCGAUUAGAACAAAAUAAAUAGAACUUCAAAAGACGUUAAAAGAGGCAACUGUUGAUAAAAAAAAGUAGUUAUGAAUAAAAAAGUUAUAAUUAAAAGACUCAAUAAUAGAAUUUAAAGACACAACCUUUGUUAUAAAUAUAUGAUAAUAUGUGUAAGUAUUUAACAAAACAGAUCGGAAGCUUGAAAGUUAGAGAAACGAAAUAAAUUAGAAAGAAUCGGAGGCCAUAGAUAGGCACAUGUGCAGGAUAAAAGCCCUUACCUUGGCCACUGGCUAGUGCAUGGCAUAUUCACAUUCAUAUUGACCUCAUACGAUCCAUAUUCUUUUCUAAUCUCAUAUCUCUCUGUCAAUUAUUCCUCUUUAAUAUUCAUAUUAAUUGCUAACUAUGUACUUAUACGUAAACAUGGACCGUAUGAUUCGAGUUGAAGAUCCCCAUAUCCUAUAUAUGGGUCUUUUUUUCUCUAUCAGUUUCCUUCUCCAAAUAACCCUUGCUUACGGAACAAUCAAAAAAUUGAAUGAUACUAAUAACUUAGUGUUUUAAAAAAUUUUAUCGGGAUCGUUCAUAAAUGAUAAUAAGUCAAACAUGGCGUAGAGACACAUGGAGCACUCGAUUUUACGUAAGUGUACCACACGCUGCAACAAAAGGCGCGUAGAGACGUUAUAUUAAAAAUUAAAAAAAAUCCAUAUUAAUCUCCGGCGAGUCUUGCUUUUUACGAUAGCUUUUUGAGCAUCUCCGGCGGCGUGGUCACCGGCCGUCAACUUCACCAUCAUCAUCAUUAUAUAUCAACAUGCAUCAUCAUAUACAUUCAUAUUAUACCAUUUUAAUUAACUCCGUUGACAAUAACGUGUGAGUGUGUGUAUAUAAAUGUAAAUCAAGAACUUGUAGCUGCUUAGAAAGAAAGGCAAAUGUUUCAAGAGAUUGGUUGGAUUGAUUGAUCAAGAAAACGUAAUCAAAAUGGGAUCGUCGUCCAACGGAGGUGUGCCACCUGGUUUUCGGUUUCAUCCGACGGACGAAGAGCUUCUCCAUUACUACUUGAAGAAGAAAAUCUCUUACCAAAAGUUUGAGAUGGAAGUUAUCAGAGAGGUUGAUUUAAAUAAGCUUGAGCCUUGGGAUUUACAAGGUACUAUUUCUACUUAUUCGACUCAUUUAUCAAGAAACUCUCGCAAUUCAUUGUUUGUUAUUAACCUCAUUUCAAUAUCGAUUUCACUUAUUGUUAAUUGGUUUGAGAUGAAAACCCAUAAAUCUUGAUAGCUCUUUUCCACUUCUUGAUUACUAGAUAUAUACAUGGAAAUUUAUUAGUGAUUCAAUUCUCUAAUUUUGUAUGAUGUUUUUUUUUUCUAUUAGAGAGAUGCAAGAUAGGGUCAACGCCGCAGAACGAAUGGUAUUUCUUCAGCCACAAAGACAGGAAAUAUCCAACAGGUUCAAGGACAAAUCGUGCUACUCAUGCGGGGUUCUGGAAGGCCACAGGACGUGACAAAUGCAUAAGAAACUCUUACAAGAAGAUAGGAAUGAGGAAGACACUUGUGUUCUACAAAGGAAGAGCUCCUCAUGGCCAAAAGACUGAUUGGAUCAUGCAUGAGUACCGUCUCGAAGACGCUGACGAUUCUCAAGGCAACCCUAGUGUAUGUCGUUUCUUUGAGCAAUCUUUAAAAUCAUAAUAUAGAUCAUUAAUGGCACAAAUAUCCGAUUUUCAAAUUUUUUUUUCUAAAUUGUUUUGAAUAUGUAUAUUAAAUUCUAUAAAAUUCUUUAUACAAAAUUUUGAUAUAUACAGUAAUUCCUUAUACAAAAUUUUGACAGAGAAUUUUCACAGAGCAUUUUAAGUAGUUUGUGACUGUUUAUCAUGAUGCGUUAAAUUCAGUAGGUUGGUUAGGGUCUACUUUAUUGAAUCUGUUUUGUGCAUUAUACUAUAUGAUCUUGUAGGAAGAUGGAUGGGUGGUUUGUAGGGUGUUCAUGAAGAAAAAUUUGUUCAAGGUAGUGAAUGAAGGUGGCUCAAGCAUUAACUCAACAGACCAAUACAACCAUGAUGCGUCCAACAACAGCAACACGCUCCAAGCUCGUAGCUUUAUGCACAGAGACAGCCCUUACCAGCUAGUACGCAACCAUGGAGCCACAACAUUUGAACUGAACAAGCCUGACCUUUCUCUUCAUCAAUACCCACCAAUCUUCCAUAAGCCACCUUCUCUUGGAUUUGACUACACUUCAGGACUUCAAAGGGACUGUGAAAGUGCGGCUAGUGAAGGGUUACGGUACCAGCAAGCGUGCGAGCCAGGUUUAGAGGUUGGCACGUGCGAGACAGAGGCUAGUCAUAACCAUCAACAAGGUUUAGGUGAAUGGUCAAUGAUGGAUCAUAGGCUUGUGACUUGUCAUUUGGGAAAUGAAGAUUCCUCUAGAGGGAUUAGGUUUGAGGAUGGUAACAACAAUUCUUCUUCUGUUUCCCAGCCAAUUCCUGCGUCGAACCAGCUUUCUUUGCGCAGUGAGAUGGAUUUCUGGGGUUAUUCUAAAUAGAUGUUUAUAAUAUCUAAUGACUAUUCAAGUCUUGGUGGUGUGUGUGUGUGUGUGUUCUUGAUUACAUUUUUAAUUUUUAGUUCAUUUAUGGUUGGAAGCAAAUUGCUUCACAAAACCCAAAUAUAUUGCCACUAUGGGAAUGAAUAAGAACAGGUUUGAUUAGUUUAAUGUAUUCAUCAUGUAUUGUUAUUCUCAUUUGCCUCGCACGAACCUAAGCAUGUAUAAAUAUUUUUUUUAACAAUAUGCAUUAUGUGUUUUGGUGGUGACAACACUUAGCAUCAGUAUUAGAUUACAUGUCUUUGUGGAUUGCUUUCAUGAUGACAAGUCGAAAACAACAAAAUCAGCGGCUAGAAAUGGUUAUAAAAUUUGCUAGAGUGAUGUAAAUUAUUGCUCAAUAAUAUUGAUUUUUUGUGCACUUUUUCCCCCCUUACAUAUAUAAAACCAAAGGAUAGCUAUAUAUUUAACCGCAUACGCAAACGCACUGUUAGAUGACUAUCCUUAGAAGCAUAAUAAAGCAGCACCAUUGGAAAUAUAUCAAGAAGAUGCAGAUGGAAGUUUUUUUCACAAUGUCAAUAGAAAUUCUCAUCAAACAAAGUGUACAAAGCAUCUUCUCGAAGCUCUUUUGAAACUAGAAAACGGCUUAGAGAGUGGGAGCUCUCUCGGCGGUUCCAGCGAUGACGGUAAGCAAAUUGUUUCCAAAAGGAUCACUUAGAUGCUUUGAAAGGUUCUCAACGGGACCUUCUCCGGUAACGUAAGCUUGGAUGAAGAAACCAAGCAUCGCAAACAUGGCUAAUCUCCCGUUCUUGAUCUCUUUAACCUUGAGAAGAGCUCCUUGUUCAGGGUCCUUAGCAAGUCCCAGAGGAUCAAAUGGACCUCCUGGGUGAAGCUUGUCUUCGAAAUCCUGCCCAAAUUUUUUGCAUUUCCAAGUUUAGUUGUGUUCCCCGUGAGGAAUUCGAAUGAGUAAUAGCUUAAAAUGUAGAGUAAAUUUACCAAUCCGUUGGUGAUUCUGUAGUACUCGGCUCCACCGAGGAGAACAACUUCAGCAACUACGGCGAGAACAAGGUUGAUUGGGAUGUUCUUGCCGAAAUAGUUCAAUGUGUUUCCAUCAAGAAGCAGAGCACCAGUCUGCAUCGUCAUUCCAAUAAAACCCAUCAAAAUCAUAAGUUCUUGCUUUGCUAUAUAUAAUCUGAAGUCAAUUGAAGAUUCAAGAAAGAUGAGAAUUAGUAUAAAGAACCUUAAACCAGACAGCUUCAGGGCCACAGUUAGCACCGUAUUUGUUUAAGGCUUCAGGGAUGAUGAAACCAGCUGCUCCCAACAUAGCCCAUCUCGCGUGGAUCAAUUCAAAGGCUUGGUAUCUAGCAACCACAUUCAUUACACAACCAGUCUUAAUGACAUUGACAAAUUUGAGAGAUAAGAGAUGGAACUAACGAAACAGGUAUUAGAGCAGAGAAUCUGCUUACUUAGCAAAGUUCUCAGGCUUCUUUCCAAGUCCAAAUGGGUCAUAGCCAUAGCUGCAAUUCAGAUUUGAUACCAAUAAAUCCUAAGUACCAAAGCCAAAGCAAGCAUAGAAAGAGAGACAUGAAGAAGUAUCUUACUCUCCAGCAACUUCACCGUUUAAGUACUCUGGGAUCUCUGAUCUGUCCAAAAGACCAUCCGGCAAGAAUAUUCUCCUGUCAGGACCUGAAUUGCAAACACAUUCAUGAUCAGGGAGGCGUAUUGAUAGAAAGCAAAGGAAACAAUACGAUGUUGAAAGGGAAGUAGAGGACACAUACCGUACCACUUGGCGAGCUCGUCGUUCGCAACAGAGACGGUCUUCUUAGGAGGAGGAGCUGGCUUUUUCUUGGAGAACAGAGCAACUGUCUUGAACGUAGCCGGGCUUGAUGCCAAUGGAGCAGACGAUCUUGACACUGCCCUGAAGUUAAGGGGCGUACCAAGCAUUUCCGACACACCCAAAGACGCCAUCUUUUUUAGCCCCAAAGUUUCAAGCUUUUUUACUCUGUAUCAAGACUAAGAGGAGAAGCUAGGUGAAAGGAAGGAAGAGACGAAAACUGCUUCUAUAAGGUGGAGAGUGAGAUUCGUUCAGGCUUUUGAUUGGUCCAAUUUGGGAAUGUGAAAUAUGAUUCUGUUCUCUGAUUGGCUGUGGUUGCUGAUGUGGCUCAUAGAUUGGUUUUUGUUGGAUAAUCUAUUUUAUCCAUAUCCUCUGUUUCUCUUUUGUGUGGCCAUGCUUUUACCUAUACACUGCAAGACUGUACACAAGAUUCUCAAAACACAUGAAAAUCUCAACUGUUGAAUGUCAUCCACAGGUCUUUUACUUAGUAGGGCUUUCAGUAAAUUUCUCAGCACACUAGUCUGCUUAUUACCGUAUCGUGGACUCGCAUUCAGUCGCGCAAAAUAACGCGCAAAGUCAACAGUUAGAUAUCCAAAUUGGAUCAACAACAAUGGCUGCUUCUGCAAAAUUGGGUUAUGCCUGCUCAUUAUCGUAAGAAAACGCUCAAACUCAAUGGCGUUUGGGGAGUUAAGUUGAGCCAUUAGCAUCACUAGAAUGAUCAAUAUAAACUACUUGAAUCCGUCUUUGUACCAUAUCCAAAUCGUACAAUAACGAAUGCGAUUCACACAUUCCGGAUUGAAGAACAAGGCAAUACUAACAUUUACUUGAAAGGAACUAAUCCAAAGCUGCAACAAGACAAGUAUCUAAGCUAAAAGAUGCAGACUUGCAGAGUUUUUUUUUUUUAAUUUACAAUCUUCUCCACUUGUCGAUUUCUUUUGAAGUGGCUUUCACAAGUUUCUUGGUGUGGACAACGAGUUCAUCAAUCAGAGAAUCAACUUCAUCUCUGUCAAUAGCCAAAAGAAAAAAAUGAUCUUUUUCAGUUCUAACACAAACAUUACUUGUUUUGUCACAAAUAGAGUCAACACUAGAAUCUAAUUACUCACAAAGAUGGUUUUCCAACGUUGUAAUAAGAGCGAGAGUGAUCAUAAGCAGCUCCUCUUCCGACGCCAUACCCAAAUCCAACACCGAUUCCACAACCAGCUCCGAAUCCGAGACCAAACUGUAAUCCAGGAACUCCUGGUCCGAAUCCUACACCUGAUUUCCAUCGAUCUCUUAGUCAAGUUAACUAACACUUUUCUAACUAUCUAAAGAUAGUUUUUUGAGCGAUUUCGCAAGUCUAAGUUAGUCAAAAUUGGGACAAAAAUACCUCCGAUAAGACCGGCGCCGAAACCAAAUCCACAACCGACACCGAGUCCUAAAGCGGGACCAACUUUUCCGACGUCUUUGAUCCUCACCUGAGGAAGUUUCCACAGUAAUCCCUUGUCAUCGUCUCCGAUGCUUCUCCUUCGAUUGCUCAUCGUCUUUCUCUCUCUCUCUCUCCCUCUCUGUCCCCGUGGACUUCGUUAGUACAUACUUGGAAUAAGCCUAUAUUGAUCAGGCCCACUGUUAUUAGCAGAGGCCCAAUGAUUUUUUUUUUUCUUUAACAACUUUUAUAUUAAAUUAAACUAUAUAUAGAUGAUACAAAUAGUUCAUUAACCAUAUAAGUGGACAAUAGAAAACAUUAAAAGAUAAUAGAAAACAUUAAAAGAUGAAGAAUUUUGUAGUGCUCUUUUUGAUAACACAUCCGCUGCUUGAUUGAUUAUGUUCUCUGUUGACAUGAUCGAUAGAACAAAGUGGGAGCAUCAUGAUCCAUCAUCUGAUAUCAAUUAAUAUAGUGCUAAUUUCUGUAUUUUUACCAUCUGAAUUAAUUAACCGAACUAGCUGAUGCGUGUCAACUGAAUGAGGGAACAAGUUUUAUCCUUAACAAAAAGAAAUAAAAGCUACAAGUGCACAACUAAUCAGUUGUAGUAUUUAGGGAUCGAAUCCACAGAGAUUUGUGUGUCUGGUAUUCUUCUACGGUUUCUAACUUUAUGUCUAGACUAUAUUGGUUUUAGAGGUUGGUUGUUUUUCACGGAUUAAACUAAAACAAAAAAAAGCAAAUAUAUUCUACCCUAGAAAACAAGUAGAAAAAUCGAAUGCGAAGCAAGUAAAGCAAGCAAAAUAUCGAACUAAAGCAAUUUAAAUGCAGAUCUGAAUAAGCAAGUGAAAAUCGAUUAGUUUGUAAACUAUGGCUAAAAAAGCUGAGCUUUCGGGAACUCUACAGGGAUCAUAAUCGGUUUUGACACUAGGGUAGAUAGAUUGGGAUUGACGGAUAUCGAUAUAUAGGGUUCUAGAGCUAGAGUAUGGCGGUAUGACUACGUCACUGUCGUGAUCAUAACCAACUGUUUCUCGCAACACUGACCAGUAGGUUUCCACUCUGGCCCUGGAAUGGAGAGAACACAAGAGCUGCACAAGACUCGUCAAUACUCACGAUCUCGCCGCAGGUAGGUUUCCACUCCUACGGAAAAAUCGCAUGUUCAUUCUAGGACUGAUACUUAAUGAAAAAUUUCCCAACACUAACUAUCUAGAUCAGAUACUAGGUGAUCAAUCAAGCAUACAUGCAAUAAGAACGAGAAUAAACAGAGAACAAAGUUGAAAUCCCAGAUCUAUAAACCUAGAUGUCUUAAUCGAUUAUGAGAGCCCCUUUCGGGAACCCUAAGCCCAACUCGAGAUCUACUCAGACAUGGCUGAGGUCAACAUCAUCAUUGGUUUUAAUAAAAGUAUUCAAAAACAGUAAAUAAAAGAGAUGAAAGAAAGCUUCUCUAUUGAAGAACUCGGACUUGAACAAUCUUCUACAAAAAUCGCAUAAAACGGCUAAAAGAAAAGGGUUUCUGUAAAGUAUGAAGGGUGGUGUCUAAAAACGACCUAAAUGACAAGUACUUUUAGUCUUCAAUACUCCAUGGUCUCUAGGGUUCCGGAAUUGAGGCUGAGAAUGACUUUGGGCUUCAGAAAUAUGGGCUUUAGUUCGGAGUUGGCCGACCGCGGUCAGGGAUGACGUGACCGCGGGAAAUAGGUGGCUGGCCGCGGUCGGGAGGCUUGUGACCGCGGGGAAUGGGCUGGUGACCGCGGUAGCGUGACUUACUGGCCGUCUUCAAGUGGCUCCAGGGCUAAUGGAAUAUCUUGAGAUCCAACCGUUGGAAUGUCUCCAAACCAAGUGCAUUUGAAAGCUGGUUGAUUCUUCUAUAUGUUGUCCUAUUUUGAGGGUGAUCAGACGGUGAAAAGAUCUUCGUCUCUCCAUGAGAGUUCUGACGGUCUGCAAUUAUCCAAAAGAGUCUUUUUGUUCUAAUUUGUGCCUCUUUAUCCCAAAUGACCUAAAAAGUCUUUUAAAAUCCAAAAACAUAGAAAUCCUUUAAAAACCUUUGAAAAUAAAGUAAAAACACUUGUAAAAGACAUUAAAGUGAUCCAUAAAAAUAGUCAAAAUCCGGUGUUAUCACUAGCUCUUUAUUAUCACUUUCAAAUCAAACAUUCCACCAGCCUUGUAUCCAGAUGGACUAAACUAUAUGUAAAAAUCUAACUGCUUCAGCUUGUAGAGGACUUUGUACCUGCAGUAAUCGCCCAUUACCUGAUAGAACAUGUUUGUCUUCAUGAUCCCGUAAAAUCCAGCCUAUUCCAGUUGUAUCCCCUGUUAAGAUAUGAGAACUGUCAAAAUUAUAUUUGAGUCAUCUUUGUGGUGGAGGUUGCCAUUGUGAAGAACAGGUUAAUGAAUCAUCCUCAACAUUUCUUCCAUAGAAAUCUCAUAUCUUGUUACUGCACUUCAUUCCUUUGCUCCUUGCAAGCCACGAUCAGCAUCUUCCUUGGGGUGAGCAGAUCUUUUUUUUUGGAAUAUAAACUCAUUCUUUGAUUUCUAAAUAUUCUAAACUGUCCAAAAUGGUAAUACUCUAUCCUCCAUAAGCAGAGUUUUUGUUUUUGCUAUUGCGAUGAUUCAUUCAAUAUUUUCUUCAAGAAUUAUCGAUGGAUUUUCAAACGCUUGUAUGUUAGAACAUCGCCAAAUCGCAUGUGCAUGAGGACACUAAAACAGGAUAUGGUUUUCAUCUGCAAGACAACAUCACUGACAAAUUGGAUUUACAUUAACACCACGAAUACGUAAUCGUUCUGAGGUAGGUAGAGCUUCCGAUAAUGCACGCCAUAAGAAAUGCUGAAUCUUUGGUAGUAUCUUCAGCUUCCAUAUUUUCAUCUUAAGAUCAACUGACCCUUGAGGAGGUUCAAUGAUUUCAUCUCUUACCGCUUCAUGAGUUGCAAACCAAUAUCCGGAUUUUACCGAGUAAGAUGUGUCUUUAGAAUACAGCCAAAUAUACUUAUCUGUGGAUGCAAAUUUGGAUAGAACAAUUCUUUUGACAAUUGUAACAUCUUCCACACAUAAGAUAUUCUGUAACUUUGUUUUAUCACAUGCACGUUUUCCAGACACCCAUAAAUCAGCAAUUGUUAAAUUGGCAUCAAUAUUAAAUCCUCUUGCUGCUCCUGGUGAUGAUGCAGGAAUACAUCAAUCAGACGCCACUUUAGUAUCUUUCCCAUUACCAAUCUGAAAUCUUAGACCUUGUUGGAAGGUCUUUACCGGCUUGGACUGAUCUCCAACCAAAUGAAGGCUGCACACCACACGUUGAUUCUAAAAACAUCAACAUGUUAUGGUACCUUCCUUUGUAUAUCCGAGCAAUUAAUGAAUUAGGCUUUUUAAGGAUUCUACAUGCUUGUUUAUCAAGAAGCGCCCUGUUAAACUGAAACAAAUCUCUGAAGCCUAAUCCUCCAGUUUUUGGAAGUGACAUACGUUUCCAGGCUACCCACGAUAUCUUCCUUGAAUUAUGCUCUUUUCUCCACUAGAAUUCUUUUAACAUACUAUUAAUCUCAUCACAAAAUAUUUUUGGAAUUUGAAAACAAUUCAUGGAAUAGAUAAGCGAUGCUUGCAGAACAUAUUUGAUUAGAACCUCUUUUCCAGCAGAAGAAAGAAACUGAUGAUACCACCCAUUUAACUUUUCUUUUAUUCGUUUUAAAACAAGUCAAAUGCCUUUGUUUUGCUUCGACCAAAUUGUUCCAGCAACCCCAGAUAUUUUCCUCCCUCACCAACACUUUGAAUCCCUAGCAAUCCAUGUAUCAUAUCAUGUUGUCUUUGUGCUAUUCUUGUACCAAAAAUGAUGGAAGACUUGUCGUAGUUUACUUGUUGGCCUGAAAUGUUUUAUAUCUUCCAAUAAUUUCUGCCAUUACCUCACAAUCUGUUCUUGUUUCUCGACAGAAGAAGAGAGAAUCGUCGGCAAACAAUAAGUGAGAUACUGUUGGAAAAUGUGAAGCGAGCUUCAUACCCUGAAAACUGCGAUUUCUCUCUGCAAUAGUUAGCAUUUGGCUCAUCACCUCAGCACAAAGGAGAAAAAUAUAAGGAGAUAAUGGGUAUCCUUGUCUGAUACCCUGUGAUGGUUUAAUAUUACCAUAAGCAUUCCCAUUGAUCAAGACCGAAAACGAAACAGAUUUAACACAACUCAUAACCCAUUCAAUCCGUUUGUCACAGAAAUCCAUCCUUGUCAUUCACGAAAAGUUUCUAGAAAGGUUACUUAUUUGUUGCUAUUGUCUUAUCGUGCAUCAUACAUAAUAACUUGUAAUAGACUCCUUAAAUAUAUAUGCAUCAUUUAUAUUUUUAUAUAUAUAUUACUCUUUUCAUACACUGUUGUAUUUUUUUUAAUGAUGCAAACACAGUAGUUUUCAAUACAAUCCAUCACAAGAAAAAAUGGAAAAACUACAAAUUAAAGACAUACGAGAUUAGUUUAAAUGUAUUUUUGUAUAUGAUGUGUCAGAAAGAGGAGGGAUAAAGAAUCCAUGCCCGGCCAGAUUUGGGUGUGAAGUGCUUAAACCUACCAUAAAACAUUACUAGUAUAAGUAUGACUUUCCCAGCGGGACUCCACCGUCCCACGAACCCAUAACUCGCGUCUUCGCAGCCACCGUCACUCACAUUCAAGCGCCGUUUGCAGCUGUACCCGGUCGUGAACCCGACGUUUCCAUAUGCACUGCCGUUACAAUAUUGAAUUAAUUAGUAAUAUGUAUUGUUUUCAUGGAAAAAACUAAACUUAAGUAAUAAGGUAUAAAAGUACAGUUCAUAUCUUUCAUAAGGACAUAACCUUUUCUUAUUUGAUCUAAUCCAAAAAUAUGAUGGAACCUAAGAUCCAAAACUUUUCACUACUAUUGAUAUGAAUGUUAAUUAUUAAGGAAUAAAUAAAGAAGCUUAACCAGCCGAAAGACAUACUUUUUUGCUAAAAAAAUGAAUAAAAAGGUAAAUCUAGUAAUGGAUCGAACUAAUGAUAAUAACAGAGAAAAGAUUAGGAUCGAGUGAACCAGAUUUGAAUCUGCUGUAGUUGGAUAUAGUCACUUAUAUAUUAAUCUUUCACUUACUAGAGUUACAUGAUUUACAAGAAGGAAAAAAAUAGAUACGUAUGGUGAAUAACUCUGAAUUCUGAAAGCUUGGACAAAUUGUAAGGAUUAAUGAAAUUCUUAAUUCAAAUAUCAUUUUAAUCUCUCUAGAGGAGUUUUCAAUCCGUUUAUUUUCCUACGCUAAUUUUUUUCAUUUCUAAACUAUGUUAACAAGUUACAACUGGUACACAAUAUCUUCUCACAUAACAAUAUUUUACACACCUUCAAUAUGUUUAGGUCACCUAGUUUAUUAGAAGGUAAACUUAAUGCCCUAUCUCACCUAGAUAGAUUGAUGUCCAAUAUUCUUAGAAAAUUUUGAAAGUUUUUCGUGGUCUAUGUAAAAGCAUAUUGAACGUGUGUAAGUUUAAAAAUUUUAAAAGAUAUAUGUAAAAGCACACCUGAUAACUUCGAGAGUGAUAUUAAGGACGUUGAAGUUGAGUGGAUCUCGUCGUAGUUUUUCCCUUUCGCUGAUGGAAAUGAGAACGAUGCAUACUACCAAAAAGGAAAGUUGUGACACGAAAAGCCCACUCUUUUUCCUUUUCUUUCCAUUUUCGGAAUCAUCCUCUCCUUUCUCAUUCGUUUCUUCCGUAAACGGCAUAAACAAUGUGUACGGAGGAAGAUACCUUGUCAACACAAUUAUAUUUACUUAUCAGAAUUAUUCCUAUAGAUAAAAGAGAAAUAAUGCUUUGUGAACAUGGUGAGUUGGAGUCGAAGAGACACCCCACUAUCUUCAAAGGGCAUAUUCUGAUUCACUGAAUCCAAAAAAAAAAUAUUCUCUGCCAGACUGCUAGGAAUAUAUAUAAUAGAACAUAAAAAUAUGAAAAAAAUACAUUUUAAACUUAGAUAAGACCCGAACAUUCAGUAAUCAUCAUCAUUCAUCGCCAUCCAGAUUUGAAUAUACAUAUAUGUAUAUAUGUAUAACAAUUAAAAUUAUUGAGAUACUUCUCUAUGUUUUGGAGGAAGACGAUUUGUGAUUUCUACGAUGAUUUUUUUUUUCAAUUUAGGCUAAACGAUGACUUUUAAAACAUGAGCACCAUUAAAUGUAAAUUCUGUUAUCAUUGAAGCUAUUAAGAUAUUUAGAACAUCACACUAUCAUUCGAGUUAAAUCAUUAUAGUAUUUAUAACAAUUUUGUGGAGAAAUUAAGUUUUUUUUCAUGAACACUGCAAAAAUUUUACGUAAAAUAUAUUUUUGUUUUAGAACAUGCUCUUUGAAAAGUUUUGGACGCCGUACAUGCAUAGAUGCGUAUGUCAACUUCCACAUGUGUGAAAGUAUGUCGACAUAAAUGUACGUACGUUUCGACCGGACAAAAGUUUAAAUAUUUUGAGUCCACGUGAACGCAAGAAAUAAAAGAGGAGAGAGAGAGAGAGAGAGAGAGAGAGAGAGAGAGAGAGAGAGAGAGAGAGAGAGAGAGAGAGAG